GAAAAACAAAGACAAAACCAAAAAACAAGUGAAAAGCUGAAUCAAAGGGACCAAUUGACAAAUUUAUUGUGAACCCUGAAUCAACAACACCAGUACAAAAACAGGGGAAAAGACCAGCAACAACUCCUACAGAUGAAUAUCACAACAGACAAACUGAUUCCAGUAAAUAUUCAAAGACAUAGGUACAAGAACAGUUACCAUAUACCAUUUACUUUCAAAAUAUAUUAUCCAUCCAACAAUUCCU
RNAcentral lists this long non-coding RNA (244 nucleotides) under Mytilus galloprovincialis (Mediterranean mussel). Lineage: Eukaryota; Metazoa; Mollusca; Bivalvia; Mytilida; Mytilidae. The record is from RNAcentral.